GUGCCUUCAAUAAGGCUUUGAAGGCUAAGAUCAAGUGUAGUAUCUGUUCUUAUCAGUUUCAUAUCUGAUAAUUAAUAUCUGAUACCUCCCCUAUCUCUCUAAACUGUAAGCUAGUUUAUUAUGAGAUUUGUUAAGCACUUACUAUGUGCCAAGCACUGUACUAAGUGGUGGGUAGAUGCAAGAUCUU
Small nuclear RNA from Ornithorhynchus anatinus (platypus), 187 nucleotides. RefSeq annotates it as U2 spliceosomal RNA. The record is from RefSeq and is a predicted model, not a curated record. The transcript has a single exon. NCBI's taxonomy places the organism in Eukaryota, Metazoa, Chordata, Mammalia, Monotremata, Ornithorhynchidae.